ACGUACACUCCUGCGGGAGGCAGCAGUGGGGAAUAUUGGACAAUGGGCGCAAGCCUGAUCCAGCCAUGCCGCGUGAGUGAUGAAGGCCCUAGGGUUGUAAAGCUCUUUCACCGGUGAAGAUAAUGACGGUAACCGGAGAAGAAGCCCCGGCUAACUUCGUGCCAGCAGCCGCGGUAAUACGAAGGGGGCUAGCGUUGUUCGGAUUUACUGGGCGUAAAGCGCACGUAGGCGGACUAUUAAGUCAGGGGUGAAAUCCCGGGGCUCAACCCCGGAACUGCCUUUGAUACUGGUAGUCUUGAGUUCGAGAGAGGUGAGUGGAAUUCCGAGUGUAGAGGUGAAAUUCGUAGAUAUUCGGAGGAACACCAGUGGCGAAGGCGGCUCACUGGCUCGAUACUAACGCUGAGGUGCGAAAGCGUGGGGAGCAAACAGGAUUAGAAACCCCUGUAGUCCCAUG
Molecule: ribosomal RNA, 454 nt
Filed under: uncultured organism
Description: partial 16S ribosomal RNA
Rfam family: Bacterial small subunit ribosomal RNA
Source: RNAcentral